RNAcentral lists this unclassified non-coding RNA (303 nucleotides) under Galerina sp. RNAcentral describes it as "partial contains 5.8S ribosomal RNA, internal transcribed spacer 2, and large subunit ribosomal RNA". The stretch from base 1 to 52 matches the Rfam family "5.8S ribosomal RNA", at positions 103 to 154 of the family's 154-position model. The record is from RNAcentral. Lineage: Eukaryota; Fungi; Basidiomycota; Agaricomycetes; Agaricales; Galerinaceae.
AACGCACCUUGCGCCCUUUGGUAUUCCGAAGGGCAUGCCUGUUUGAGUGUCAUUAAAUUCUCAAACCUUGAUCAGUUUUGCGACUGACUUCAAGGCUUUGGAUGUGGGAGUCUGCUGGAACUCUUUUGGUUCAGCUCUCCUCAAAUGCAUUAGCGGUUACUUGAUCCCCUUUCCUUGGUGUGAUAAUUAUCUACGCCUUUGAAAUGAUCAGCAUUGUAUCAGCUUCUAACCGUCCAUUGACUUGGACAACUACUUAAUUGACCAUUUGACCUCAAAUCAGGUAGGACUACCCGCUGAACUUAA